Molecule: ribosomal RNA, 429 nt
Filed under: Pseudomonadota bacterium
Lineage: Bacteria; Pseudomonadati; Pseudomonadota
Description: Proteobacteria bacterium partial 16S ribosomal RNA
Rfam family: Bacterial small subunit ribosomal RNA
Source: RNAcentral
UGGGGAAUAUUGGACAAUGGGCGAAAGCCUGAUCCAGCCAUGCCGCGUGUGUGAAGAAGGUCUUCGGAUUGUAAAGCACUUUAAGUUGGGAGGAAGGGCAGUAAGCGAAUACCUUGCUGUUUUGACGUUACCGACAGAAUAAGCACCGGCUAACUCUGUGCCAGCAGCCGCGGUAAUACAGAGGGUGCAAGCGUUAAUCGGAAUUACUGGGCGUAAAGCGCGCGUAGGUGGUUCGUUAAGUUGAAUGUGAAAGCCCCGGGCUCAACCUGGGAACUGCAUCCAAAACUGGCGAGCUAGAGUAGGGCAGAGGGUGGUGGAAUUUCCUGUGUAGCGGUGAAAUGCGUAGAUAUAGGAAGGAACACCAGUGGCGAAGGCGACCACCUGGGCUCAUAAUGACACUGGGGUGCGAAAGCGUGGGGAGCAAACAGG